GUUUUAAUAGUUUAAAAAAAAAACAAUGAUUUUGUAAAUCAAAGAUAGGUUUUUCCUUUAAAACU
RNAcentral lists this transfer RNA (65 nucleotides) under Dysdercus evanescens. RNAcentral's name for it is "tRNA-Thr". Lineage: Eukaryota; Metazoa; Arthropoda; Insecta; Hemiptera; Pyrrhocoridae. The record is from RNAcentral.